AGAGUUUGAUCCUGGCUCAGAUUGAACGCUGGCGGCAGGCCUAACACAUGCAAGUCGAGCGGAAACGAUCCUAGCUUGCUAGGAGGCGUCGAGCGGCGGACGGGUGAGUAAUGCAUAGGAAUCUACCCAGUCGUGGGGGAUAACCUGAGGAAACUCAGGCUAAUACCGCAUACGUCCUACGGGAGAAAGCGGGGGCUCUUCGGACCUCGCGCGAUUGGAUGAGCCUAUGUCGGAUUAGCUAGUUGGUAAGGUAACGGCUUACCAAGGCGACGAUCCGUAGCUGGUCUGAGAGGAUGAUCAGCCACACCGGGACUGAGACACGGCCCGGACUCCUACGGGAGGCAGCAGUGGGGAAUAUUGGACAAUGGGCGCAAGCCUGAUCCAGCCAUGCCGCGUGUGUGAAGAAGGCUUUCGGGUUGUAAAGCACUUUCAGUGGGGAAGAAGGCUUGUCGGCCAAUACCCGGCAAGAGCGACAUCACCCACAGAAGAAGCACCGGCUAACUCCGUGCCAGCAGCCGCGGUAAUACGGAGGGUGCAAGCGUUAAUCGGAAUUACUGGGCGUAAAGCGCGCGUAGGCGGCGUGUCACGCCGGGUGUGAAAGCCCCGGGCUCAACCUGGGAACGGCAUCCGGAACGGGCAGGCUAGAGUGCAGGAGAGGAAGGUAGAAUUCCCGGUGUAGCGGUGAAAUGCGUAGAGAUCGGGAGGAAUACCAGUGGCGAAGGCGGCCUUCUGGCCUGACACUGACGCUGAGGUGCGAAAGCGUGGGUAGCAAACAGGAUUAGAUACCCUGGUAGUCCACGCCGUAAACGAUGUCGACUAGCCGUUGGGUCCCUUGAGGACUUAGUGGCGCAGUUAACGCGAUAAGUCGACCGCCUGGGGAGUACGGCCGCAAGGUUAAAACUCAAAUGAAUUGACGGGGGCCCGCACAAGCGGUGGAGCAUGUGGUUUAAUUCGAUGCAACGCGAAGAACCUUACCUACCCUUGACAUCCUGCGAACCCGGAAGAGAUUCCGGGGUGCCUUCGGGAGCGCAGAGACAGGUGCUGCAUGGCUGUCGUCAGCUCGUGUUGUGA
Molecule: ribosomal RNA, 1071 nt
Filed under: uncultured bacterium
Lineage: Bacteria
Description: bacterial SSU rRNA
Rfam family: Bacterial small subunit ribosomal RNA
Source: RNAcentral